RNAcentral lists this ribosomal RNA (407 nucleotides) under uncultured bacterium. RNAcentral's name for it is "partial 16S ribosomal RNA". It matches the Rfam family "Bacterial small subunit ribosomal RNA", at positions 28 to 526 of the family's 1533-position model. The record is from RNAcentral.
GAUGAACGCUAGCUACAGGCUUAACACAUGCAAGUCGCAGGACUGGCGCACGGGUGAGUAACGCGUAUCCAACCUUCCCAUAACUACGGGAUAACCCGUUGAAAGACGGCCUAAUACCGUAUGGUAAUGGAUGGGGAUGAGUCUGAUUUGCUUGUUGGUGGGGUAACGGCCCGCCAAGGCGACGAUCAGUAGGGGUUCGGAGAGGAAGGUCCCUCACAAUGGAGCUGAGACACGGUCCAAACUCCGACAGGGGGGAGCAGUGAAGACUAUUGGUCAAUGGGCGAGAGCCUGAACCAGCCAAGUAGCGUGCAGAAGGACGGCCUAUGGGUUGUAAACUGCUUUUAUGGGGGGAUAGGUACCACAUGAAUAAGGACCGGCUAAUUCCGUGCCAGCAGCCGCGGUAAUUC